GAGACUAUAAACAAUCCAGUAAUAAAGAAGAACGUGCAUUACAACUAUAAAACGCAGUAAGUAACCAGGAAUAGUGGGGACAAUUUAGAGUUAGAAUAUAUGUGAAGGAUAAUGGAAACUGAACAAAUCAAGUGAGGGGCAAGGAUGAGAAAUCAUUUAUAAAUGGAAGGACAAGUUAAAAAGUAUUUUAAAAAAUUAGGGAGAGUAUAUACAAUUUUAGAGAAAGAGACAAGCCCGAAGCAUCUGAGGAAUAAAUAGCAGUGAUCAGAUUAAUUGUGAUACAAGAAUGGUAAAUUAGAACAGGGAGCAGUGUUUUUUUUAGACUUUUGGAUCUCAUUAGUCUUUGGUGUUGCACUCUUAUUUUGUCCUAUAUUAGCAUGUUACACUCUUUGUACUUUAUCUUUUUUUCUGGUAUCUUCAUAAGGUUUUUAUCCAUUUUGUACCUUUGGAGUGUAAUAUUUACGACUGCAAUUCUGUCUGAUCUCUAUUAAAUGUACAUUGAUAUACUUGCAAUAAAGGUAUAUAUUUUUUUAUAUCAAGUGAUUGUUGUGCUCCUAUGUCUUAUAUUGAUUAUUAUUGAGGCAGAUGCUUGGAGGCCUAGAGAUUAUAAAUCGUAGAGCAAUCAUCAUUGUAUUUUGGUUGAUAGAUAUGUGUGUGCUUUCUUAUCUAAUGUUAUUUAUUGUUUCCUUUCCCUUUAGGAGAGUGACACCUAUAUCAAAUCAUUUGCAGAGAUCAGCUCUUUGAGUGAAAGGAGAGCAGUGAGAAAAGUAUAUGCACUGGCAGAGGUUGAUAAACUUGUGACAUAUUUUCUGGUUCUACUUCUUGUGCACAAUUUUGUGUAUUUGCAAAGGAAGAAGAUUAUUACCUUCAUGCUUACAUGUUGGAAGAGUAUAUAUGUUAAGAGAAUCCCUUGUGAUGAGACUAGCAUAAUAAAAACUACAAUAAGUGCAAAAUAAG
Molecule: non-coding RNA, 957 nt
Organism: Pelobates cultripes (western spadefoot toad)
Lineage: Eukaryota; Metazoa; Chordata; Amphibia; Anura; Pelobatidae
Source: the annotation of a GenBank genome assembly